AAUUGAUGCAUACAAGGAAUGGCUUGAAAUCCUGCAACAAGAGCAACCUGAAACGGAAUUUAGAGAUGAUUAUAGGGACGAAACCAUCGAGACAUAUAAAGAAUGGUUGAGGCGUAAAGGCUAUCUUAGAGACAUCUAUGCAUAUGCACAAGAUGAUGAUGCCAACGACAAUGUUCGAGUUGCUGCUGAUGAACACCGUACACAUAGCUCGUCACCAAAAAAAGAAUGGC
Molecule: long non-coding RNA, 230 nt
Organism: Panicum virgatum (switchgrass)
Lineage: Eukaryota; Viridiplantae; Streptophyta; Magnoliopsida; Poales; Poaceae
Exons: 3
Source: RefSeq, a predicted model, not a curated record